UGGGGGAUAUUGCACAAUGGGCGAAAGCCUGAUGCAGCGACGCCGCGUGGGGGAUGAAGGCCUUCGGGUUGUAAACUUCUUUUGCUCUGAACAAGGCGCACCAUGGGGUGUGUUGAGUGUAGGGGUUGAUUAGCGCCGGCUAACUACGUGCUAGCAGCCGCGGUAAUACGUAGGGCGCGAGCGUUGUCCGGAAUUAUUGGGCGUAAAGGGCUUGUAGGUGGCUGGUUGCGUCUGUCGUGAAAGCUCAUGGCUUAACUGUGGGUUUGCGGUGGGUACGGGCUGGCUUGAGUGCAGUAGGGGAGGCUGGAAUUCCUGGUGUAGCGGUGGAAUGCGCAGAUAUCAGGAGGAAUACCGGUGGCGAAGGCGGGUCUCUGGGCUGUUACUGACACUGAGGAGCGAAAGCAUGGGGAGCGAACAGG
Molecule: ribosomal RNA, 419 nt
Filed under: bacterium
Lineage: Bacteria
Description: partial 16S ribosomal RNA
Rfam family: Bacterial small subunit ribosomal RNA
Source: RNAcentral